This 2129-nucleotide ribosomal RNA is filed under the name Escherichia coli. Its description in RNAcentral is "bacterial LSU rRNA". It matches the Rfam family "Bacterial large subunit ribosomal RNA", at positions 1 to 2157 of the family's 2925-position model. Lineage: Bacteria; Pseudomonadati; Pseudomonadota; Gammaproteobacteria; Enterobacterales; Enterobacteriaceae. The record is from RNAcentral.
UUAAGCGACUAAGCGUACACGGUGGAUGCCCUGGCAGUCAGAGGCGAUGAAGGACGUGCUAAUCUGCGAUAAGCGUCGGUAAGGUGAUAUGAACCGUUAUAACCGGCGAUUUCCGAAUGGGGAAACCCAGUGUGUUUCGACACACUAUCAUUAACUGAAUCCAUAGGUUAAUGAGGCGAACCGGGGGAACUGAAACAUCUAAGUACCCCGAGGAAAAGAAAUCAACCGAGAUUCCCCCAGUAGCGGCGAGCGAACGGGGAGCAGCCCAGAGCCUGAAUCAGUGUGUGUGUUAGUGGAAGCGUCUGGAAAGGCGCGCGAUACAGGGUGACAGCCCCGUACACAAAAAUGCACAUAUUGUGAGCUCGAUGAGUAGGGCGGGACACGUGGUAUCCUGUCUGAAUAUGGGGGGACCAUCCUCCAAGGCUAAAUACUCCUGACUGACCGAUAGUGAACCAGUACCGUGAGGGAAAGGCGAAAAGAACCCCGGCGAGGGGAGUGAAAAAGAACCUGAAACCGUGUACGUACAAGCAGUGGGAGCACGCUUAGGCGUGUGACUGCGUACCUUUUGUAUAAUGGGUCAGCGACUUAUAUUCUGUAGCAAGGUUAACCGAAUAGGGGAGCCGAAGGGAAACCGAGUCUUAACUGGGCGUUAAGUUGCAGGGUAUAGACCCGAAACCCGGUGAUCUAGCCAUGGGCAGGUUGAAGGUUGGGUAACACUAACUGGAGGACCGAACCGACUAAUGUUGAAAAAUUAGCGGAUGACUUGUGGCUGGGGGUGAAAGGCCAAUCAAACCGGGAGAUAGCUGGUUCUCCCCGAAAGCUAUUUAGGUAGCGCCUCGUGAAUUCAUCUCCGGGGGUAGAGCACUGUUUCGGCAAGGGGGUCAUCCCGACUUACCAACCCGAUGCAAACUGCGAAUACCGGAGAAUGUUAUCACGGGAGACACACGGCGGGUGCUAACGUCCGUCGUGAAGAGGGAAACAACCCAGACCGCCAGCUAAGGUCCCAAAGUCAUGGUUAAGUGGGAAACGAUGUGGGAAGGCCCAGACAGCCAGGAUGUUGGCUUAGAAGCAGCCAUCAUUUAAAGAAAGCGUAAUAGCUCACUGGUCGAGUCGGCCUGCGCGGAAGAUGUAACGGGGCUAAACCAUGCACCGAAGCUGCGGCAGCGACGCUUAUGCGUUGUUGGGUAGGGGAGCGUUCUGUAAGCCUGUGAAGGUGUGCUGUGAGGCAUGCUGGAGGUAUCAGAAGUGCGAAUGCUGACAUAAGUAACGAUAAAGCGGGUGAAAAGCCCGCUCGCCGGAAGACCAAGGGUUCCUGUCCAACGUUAAUCGGGGCAGGGUGAGUCGACCCCUAAGGCGAGGCCGAAAGGCGUAGUCGAUGGGAAACAGGUUAAUAUUCCUGUACUUGGUGUUACUGCGAAGGGGGGACGGAGAAGGCUAUGUUGGCCGGGCGACGGUUGUCCCGGUUUAAGCGUGUAGGCUGGUUUUCCAGGCAAAUCCGGAAAAUCAAGGCUGAGGCGUGAUGACGAGGCACUACGGUGCUGAAGCAACAAAUGCCCUGCUUCCAGGAAAAGCCUCUAAGCAUCAGGUAACAUCAAAUCGUACCCCAAACCGACACAGGUGGUCAGGUAGAGAAUACCAAGGCGCUUGAGAGAACUCGGGUGAAGGAACUAGGCAAAAUGGUGCCGUAACUUCGGGAGAAGGCACGCUGAUAUGUAGGUGAAGUCCCUCGCGGAUGGAGCUGAAAUCAGUCGAAGAUACCAGCUGGCUGCAACUGUUUAUUAAAAACACAGCACUGUGCAAACACGAAAGUGGACGUAUACGGUGUGACGCCUGCCCGGUGCCGGAAGGUUAAUUGAUGGGGUCAGCGCAAGCGAAGCUCUUGAUCGAAGCCCCGGUAAACGGCGGCCGUAACUAUAACGGUCCUAAGGUAGCGAAAUUCCUUGUCGGGUAAGUUCCGACCUGCACGAAUGGCGUAAUGAUGGCCAGGCUGUCUCCACCCGAGACUCAGUGAAAUUGAACUCGCUGUGAAGAUGCAGUGUACCCGCGGCAAGACGGAAAGACCCCGUGAACCUUUACUAUAGCUUGACACUGAACAUUGAGCCUUGAUGUGUAGGAUAGGUGGGAGGCUU